Molecule: long non-coding RNA, 2353 nt
Organism: Triticum aestivum (bread wheat)
Lineage: Eukaryota; Viridiplantae; Streptophyta; Magnoliopsida; Poales; Poaceae
Exons: 5
Source: RefSeq, a predicted model, not a curated record
CCCAGUUUUCUGCGGCGGCGGCGGCUCCUCCGUCUCCUCAUCUCCUUUCUUGGUGCGGCGCUGCUCCUCCCAUGGCCCCAUCCGCAAGGCGGCGACAAGAACGAGAAGCUGGGCGGCGCCACAAGCUCUCGUCCCGAGGAAGCAACAGGAGGACGGGGUCGAUGCGGUCGUCCGCGCCUCCUCCACUGUGGUCCAUGAGCGAGAGGAAGGAGGCGUCGUCAGCUGCGUGCCCGAGCUAGCCACGGACAGGUCCAUCUCUCUCUCUCUCUCUCUCUCUCUCUCUCUCUCAUCUUGUUCGGUGAUUGUCUCAUCAUAUAUCCAAUACCAUUAUUUAUUUCUGUUUGAGUUGUGGUGAUCCAGCUGUGUCAGAUUAGUACUUACAAAUUGUGUGGCCAGCACUAUUCAUUUUUUUCAUGAUUUAGUUGUUGUUGUGAACAUUCUUUGUCUCGUACAGAUGUUCCCAGCUGUUGAGGUUGUUGAAUUACUUGAUUGAAUCAUUUGGAAAAAGACCCCCUGUGAGCUUGCGUACAAAUACACUAAAAUUAAAACCACAUUAACUCAAUUUCUUGAUGUAUGUACAUGGCACCGAUGAUUUUAUAGUUAUCUCUGCUGUAAAUUCAUCACUGCCUUAUUAAGCAUUCUCUCUCUUUAUCUUGUUUGUGGGGUUUGCACACCCGUAGAAGGGAUCUUGUUGCUGCUCUUAUUCCAAGGGGUGUUAGUCUGGAUCCAAUAGGAAAAUGGUCAAAGGUAUGAUUAGUUGUGUACGACUCAACUAUUUUGUUUGGUGCACUGUUGAAUAUAUGGCAGGACAUUACAUGAAACAAGGUGAAAGUUCAUUUUUUACCAUUGAAGGCUCUUGCUCCUCAGGAGAAGGAGCGAACAGUUGAUAUGGCCCUUCAUAUGCUAUGCGAGCGAUGAUUACAACGAAGGCAUGACUGCGGGCGACGAAGGAGGGCACGGCCGGGUGUGGUAGCCGUCGGAGGAGACGAAGGGAGAGACGAGGAGAGGAGAGCGGCAUGCUGAGACCGUGGGCCGCAAAGGAAUCCUGCGCGGCGGCUGGGCGCGAUCUGGAGAAGCGCAAUAUUUCGCCAAUAGGUUUAGAGACGAGGAUCCGGAGAAAUAUUAUGCUCAGUCGUCCUAUUGUAUCAACCGUAAAGAUAUUGAAAUUAGGCUCGAGUGGACGUCGUCGAUAUGGCAAUGAGAAAAUCCUCCGGUUUGUCUUCCUGCUCAGUCCUCACAAUCCCUCACACUUGACUUUUCUGGGCCUCGGGGCAUAUUUUGUUAUUAUCUUAAAAGAACUCCUUUUGCUAUUAGUAAUAGUCUAAAGAUAUUUUUCCUUUCUAGGUUGGGACUUAGCAAAAUAUACAAGAUCCGAAAUUAUUGCUUUAUUGAAAGUUUGGUGUCCUACAGAGGAAGAAAUGGAGUAUUCCCUAACAAUAAGUAGUAAAUUUGGGGCUAAGAUAGAUGAAUGUGUAGUACCAUCAUCAUCUGAAGCUCUAUACAACACCUUCUUCACAAUGGUAAAGUAAGCUUAUUCAUACAUAAUACUAGAAUAGGAACAGAACAUAGGUCUAGAUUAUCUUUCUUUGCAUAAAGCCAUAAAGGAAAAAAAAAUUGAAAUCCUUAUAAAUAGCGACAAAAUGACAUCUAAAUAUGUACAUAGAAAGCAUUUGUACAAUAAAUUGGUAACUACUCCCUCCAUCUGAUGAAGAGUGUACAUUUGACUUUAAAAUUUAUCCACAAAAGAGUGUACUUUUAUCUUCCCAAUGCACUUUAAAGUGGAAAAAAAAUACUUCUCUCUCAUCACAUGGUAAUCAAGAUCAAUAACAUUCUACACAUGGUCUUCUUAAUUUCUACAUGCAAUUAGCUCAUUGAGGGUUGGGUAAUUCAAGAGGAGAGAUGAUGGCUUGCACCUUUCCAAUGCAUUUUUUACUUCACUCCAUAAUUUGUCCUAGAUGUACACUCUUCACCGGACGGAGGGAGUACAAGUUAGCAAGAAGAGGAAGCUGCUAUCCUGUUUCUUCUGCCACUAUUUCUGUGGAAAUGAUGUUGAACUACUACUGAUUUAAUGCAGCUUACAGAUGAUGCAACCUUUUCUCUCCAUCUCUGAUUCUCUGCUAGAAAUUGCUAUCUCUCUCAUUCCCCUCUUAACAAUGUGCUUUUUUGUUCAGUUUCAUGCCUCAAGCUGACGUUCUGAAUUGUGCCUGUACAAAAAAAAUGUACUCACCUUUUUCUACUGCUCAUUGAGAUUUGGGAGCAUCCAUUUGCUUUAGCUGGUGUAAAUAUACAUUCAUGCUCAUUGAGAUGCUUGAUCUAGGAGUUGUUCAUGCUAUUUUUUCAGAUGAUAUUGUUG